GACCACUCCGGGGUCCCCGAAUUUUAGGCAGACUUGGCAGGUACCCGUUACCCCUCCACUGGUCACCACUCCCCGGGGGUGGAGGUGCCAGCCUGCUGCCACUAAGGGAAGAACCUCUGGCUUCUUCUGGUAGCAGAUGGAUCUUGGUCUCCUUGGUGGUCUGGCCGUCGGCCAGGACAGGUGGAUGCCGAUGGUCUGAGGGUUGCAGGGGGCUGUGGCGGGUUUGCCUGGCUCCACGUUAAGUGCUUCCCGCAUUCUCCCAUUCACCCCCUUGACAGUCCACUGCGUGAUGUCAGCCUCCGUUUUAUGCCUUUUAAUGACUCUCCAAGGUCUCUGGGACCAGCCGAGUCCUCCAUCUUCAUUCUUGUCCUGGAGACCACUUCCCCACGCUGUCCCCUAGGAGGACGAGUGGCUCAGAGACACAGUUCCUGCCUUUGGGAAUCUACAUCCAGCUGAGGAGACACAGGUUAAAAGUCCAGGAGGCAAGAAGACACUUAAAGGGGUACCGUGGCCACCCCGGCCCCCGCAGGCUGGACAGGAGUGUGGAGCCAAGGAGGCAACCCCAGUGGCCAGAGGAGGCUCCCCAUUGCCUUCCCUGUGGGUGGGGACCGCGGGCAGAGGCUGGGAGAGCCAUGCUCCAGAGGUCCAGGCCCUUGGCCACUUUCCCAGGGCUGUCCGAGCCUCAUGCCUCGGAACCUUCCCGCCUGUGUCUCUGUCAGGCACUCCUUGCGUGCAUGGCACUGUGCAGGCAGCUCUCACCUGCAGGGGCAUCUGGAGCAGCUUUGAGAGAAGAGGGCAGGCCACCCACUGGCCGACCAGCUGAAUCCACUCGGGUUUGUUUAGAGCUUCCAGGUGAUUCUGAGAUGUAGCCACGUUUGAGAAGCGCUGGGCCAGAUACCAGGCAGUUUUUCAGGCUAGGAGUGGGGAAUGUGCCCUUCGAAUGAAGGGUUCCGCUGCCCCCAGAGACCCCCAAGGCUGGGGUCUCUGCCUUGUUCGUAAUCCAGACCAGGGGACUCCAUGGCCACAGGACAGCUAUGAUUUUUCCAAUAGUCAUGUACAGAUGUGAGAGCUGGACUUUACAGAAGACUGAACGCAGAAGAACUGAUGCUUUCGAACUGUGAUGCUGGAGAAGAUUCUUGAAAGUCCCUUGGACUGCAAGGAGAGCAAACUGGUCAAUCCUAAAGGAAAUCAACCCUGAAUUUUCAUUGAAAGGACUGAUGCUGAAGCUGAAGCUCCAAUACUUGGGUCACCUGGUGUGAAGAGCCAACUCUUUGGAAAAGACCCUGAUGCUGGGAAAGAUUGAAGGCAGGAGGAGAAGGGGGCGACAGAGGAUGAGAUGGCGGAUGGUGUCACCGACUCAAUGGACAUGAGCUUGAGCAAACUCAGGGAGAUAGUGAAGGACAGGGGAGUCUGGUGUGCUGCAGUCCAUGGGAUUGCAAAGAGUCACACAAGACUUAGCGACCAAAACAGCAACAGCAAUUUAUUUCAACCGGGGUGGGUCUUCGUUGCUGCGAGGGCUUUUCUCUAGCUGUGAGCCUGUCACAAUCGUGUGAAAACUAACUGCUUCAUUAAAAAUGUAUCUCAAAGAAGAGGGAACCCUCCUCCUCUGCUGCUGGCCCAGUAAGUUGGUGCAGCCGCUGUGAAAGACAGGAUGUAGGUUCUUCAGAAAACUAAAACCAGAGCUACCACGCGAACCAGCAAUCCCACUCCUGGACAUAUAUCAAGACAGAACGGUAGUUCAAAGAUGCACGCACCCCUAUGCUCAUAGCAGCACUAUGUACCAUAGCCAAGACGCAGGAACAACCUACAUGUCCACCGGCAGACGAAGGGAUGAAGAUGUGGUGCGUAUACGCAACGGAAUACUACGUAGAAUGAAUCAGUGCCAUGAGCAGCGACGUGGCUGCAACCAGAGUUUAUCAUACGAAGUGAAGUGCGUCAGAAUGAGAAAGACAAGUACCAUAUUAUCCUAACACUUAUACCUGGAGUCUAAAAUAUGACACAAAGGAACCAUCUCCGAAACAGAAGCAGUUACGGACACAGAGAAGAGACGUGAUUCUCCAGGGGGCGGGGGUUGGGGGAGGGAUAGAGUGAGAGGCUGGGGUUAGCAGAUGUAGGAUGGAUAAACCACAAGGGCCUACUGUAGAGCACAGGGAGCUAUGAUCCAUAUCCCAUGAUAAACCAUGACGGAAAAGAAUGUAAAGAUGAAUGUAUAUAUGUGUAUAACCAGAUUACUUGGCUGUACAGCAGUAAUUAACACAACACUGUCAAUCAAGUCUACUUCAAUAAGGAAACGCACAUAUACACAUCCAUGUGCUGUAUCUCACAAGGAAACGAAAGUCUAGUUUUACUGUAUGAGGGAGGUGGGCAGAUACUGUAAGUGAACUUUGCUUUCAUCUAUCAGAGCAAGGAGUUCUGUCUGAACAAGACAAGACGAGGAUGGCAGCGCCUUCCGACUCACUGUUUUGUGAGCGUCUGUAUUUAUGUAGCACAUUUAAUGCAGCUGAAUUUUUAAAAUCCACUUUUUGAUAGAAAUCAAAACAAUGAAAAGACCUUCCCCCUUAUAGCCUUCCAUGUUUUCUUCUGACCCUUCGAUGAUUUGUUUCACGCACAUGAUUUCAUGUAAUUCCAUAAUAACCUUUUUUUCCCUUUUUCCGUUCUCUCCAAGUCUCUCCCCACCGGUAACC
Bos taurus (domestic cattle) is the source of this 2684-nucleotide long non-coding RNA. The record is from Ensembl. Lineage: Eukaryota; Metazoa; Chordata; Mammalia; Artiodactyla; Bovidae.